This 536-nucleotide ribosomal RNA is filed under the name Agnotecous clarus. Its description in RNAcentral is "partial 28S ribosomal RNA". The record is from RNAcentral. Lineage: Eukaryota; Metazoa; Arthropoda; Insecta; Orthoptera; Gryllidae.
UCCGGCGGGUCGGGCGCCGCGGCGCUGCGGGGGGCUCUCGCGGGCCCCCCGCGGCGAUUCAGCGGGUCAAGCCCGGCCGUCUCGCCGUGCGCGCGCAGGCACGACAACMUGCGCGCGAGUCGUUCGCCCGGGCGGAGUGCACUUUUCCUUSGACAUAGUGCGUCGMGAUCCGUUGGUCGACGGUAGUAGGGCCCGGCMGUGUCCCCGCCGAACUGGGACGUCCAGUGGGGCGGGACCAGUUCGGCGAGAGCGACCGGKGUGCGCGCGCUCAGGMCGCUUCGCGGCGCCGGCGCGCGCUUCCCGGACCSCCGUGUAAGUCCGGUUCCGUAGGGGUUCCGGCAAUAACGACGGUCAUGGAAUUCGCGGAAGACGAACUGACCGCCUCUMUUYGGAGGGGCGGCGGGUCCCUCCGGAUMUGAGCUUGGCUCAUCAUMGAAACCCGSCCGAGGAGGCGACGAUCCGGUAGGCGCCGCCCUARCAGRCGGCGCUCCGGGGAACRUCCCUCCGAGCUCACAGGCGUCUCUGGAGAGGGAAAG